This 291-nucleotide long non-coding RNA is filed under the name Vicia faba (fava bean). Lineage: Eukaryota; Viridiplantae; Streptophyta; Magnoliopsida; Fabales; Fabaceae. The record is from RNAcentral.
AUGGCCUCCGUUGCCGGAAACACCGCGAGAUCGAUAUUCCGAUCAUCCUCCGCCUGUCGUACGGCAUUCCGAAUCAGCUCGGAAGCUAAAGCGGCUCGUUCUCCUUUCCGAAUUGCCUCCAAUAAGCCUACAUCACAAUCCGCAUUCAGGAGUCCUGUUGAAUUGAGCUUCUGUGUGGAAUCCAUGUUGCCGUUUCAUUCGAUAACUGCUUCCGCGUUGAUGACUUCAAAGUUAGUAGUUUCUCAACGCAGCUAUGGUUGGCUUCCUGAAGAUUGCAAUGAUGAUGUGUGA